Long non-coding RNA from Delphinapterus leucas (beluga whale), 550 nucleotides. RefSeq lists it as uncharacterized. The record is from RefSeq and is a predicted model, not a curated record. Lineage: Eukaryota; Metazoa; Chordata; Mammalia; Artiodactyla; Monodontidae.
GCCCACUAAGCGGGAAGCUUUGCGCGAGUAGACCUUGAUUCCCGCGACAGUAGCUUGCUUUCCAUUUCUACCGCAGCGAUUCAAUGUUCUGCAGAAAUGGGACCGAGGCAACUUGCUGCCUGUCCGAAAAGGAGCCCUGCAUGGUAGCGCAGAACUGACGAGUCUAGUGCCUCUUCCAGAGACUCGCAGAAUCCGCCUAUAGAACUGUGGAUUAUUGCAGUUUGAACUGACCCCCUAGGACAACUAGAAGCGCUAGCCAGAAGCGUUUGUCAUGGGAUGCUUUAAUGCUUUGAAAAUUGUUCUCAACUGUGUCCUUCAGCGAACUAGAUAAAGAGACAGUAAGGUUGUUUAUUGAUUAUUUCCAUCAACAUUGCUUGGCAUAGUUGGCAGGAUAUCAGAAAAACUCAUCUGAGGUUACCUGGAGUCUAUACUGGACCAGCGCCUUUGUACCAAGCACAGCCCCUUGAGCCCUCCUGGCUUCACAGACCCUUCAGGUGCGUUGGCUCUGGACGUGCAGGCUCAACGGCCAUGGCUCACGGGCCCAGCCACU